GGUCUUCGGAUUGACUUUGGGGAGCCGGCAACGGCACCUUAUUGUUGAGAAGUUGAUCAAACUAGGUCGUUUAGAGGAAGUAAAGGUCGUAACAAGGUUUCCGUAGGUGAACCUGCGGAAGGAUCAUUACUGAAGGCAUAGGGUUUGAGACUGCGUCUUCAAUGGCGUGUGCUCGACUCUUUUACCUAUCCACACACCUUUGUGCACCUAUGGGACGAAAGCCCCCUUUUCCACAUUAAUACCUAGUUAUAUGCAUGUCUAUACUCUACGGAGUAAUGUAAUAUAUACAACUUUCAACAACGGAUCUCUUGGCUUUCGCAUCGAUGAAGAACGCAGCGAAUGUGCGAGACGUAAUGUGAAUUGCAGAAUUCAGUGAAUCAUCGAAUCUUUGAACGCAUCUUGCGCUCCUUGGUACUCCGAGGAGCAUGCCUGUUUGAGUGUCGUGAAAUACUCUCAGUUUCAAUCUUUUUUUGAAACUGGAUUUGAAUGCUGUCGUGACACGACUCAUUCUAAAUGUAUUAGCGGUCUGCCCUUGAUCACACAAUGUGAUAAUUCAUUAAAGCAUUGUUAUUGUUCAAGUGGCGACGGCUUCAAACCGUCCGAAAGGAUAAUGUGAUCUCAUUUGACCUCAAAUCAGGUAGGACUACCCGCUGAACUUAAGCAUAUCAAUAAGCGGAGGAAAAGAAACUAACAAGGAUUCCCCUAGUAACGGCGAGUGAAGAGGGAAAAGCUCAAAUUUGAAAUCUGGCGUCUUCGGCGUCCGAGUUGUAAUUGCAGAGGGCGCUUUGACAUCGGCAGCGGUCCAAGUUCCUUGGAACAGG
Molecule: ribosomal RNA, 821 nt
Filed under: uncultured Geastrum
Lineage: Eukaryota; Fungi; Basidiomycota; Agaricomycetes; Geastrales; Geastraceae
Description: eukaryotic LSU rRNA
Rfam family: 5.8S ribosomal RNA (bases 289-443)
Source: RNAcentral